Molecule: small nuclear RNA, 104 nt
Filed under: Dasypus novemcinctus (nine-banded armadillo)
Lineage: Eukaryota; Metazoa; Chordata; Mammalia; Cingulata; Dasypodidae
Source: RNAcentral
CUGCUCACUUUGGCAGCACAUAUACUGAAACUGGAACAAUACAGAGAUUAGCAUGUCCCCUGCACAAGGAUGACAUGCAAAUUCAUGAAGCGUUCCAUAUUUUU